CGUAGGGGCAAGCGUUAUCCGGAUUUACUGGGUGUAAAGGGAGUGUAGACGGCAAGGCAAGUCUGAAGUGAAAGCCCGGUGCUCAACGCCGGGACUGCUUUGGAAACUGUUUAGCUAGAGUGCCGGAGAGGUAAGCGGAAUUCCUAGUGUAGCGGUGAAAUGCGUAGAUAUUAGGAAGAACACCAGUGGCGAAGGCGGCUUACUGGACGGUAACUGACGUUGAGGCUCGAAAGCGUGGGGAGCAAACAGGAUU
Molecule: ribosomal RNA, 253 nt
Filed under: uncultured bacterium
Lineage: Bacteria
Description: partial 16S ribosomal RNA
Rfam family: Bacterial small subunit ribosomal RNA
Source: RNAcentral